This is a long non-coding RNA of Scophthalmus maximus (turbot), 1262 nucleotides long. RefSeq lists it as uncharacterized. The record is from RefSeq and is a predicted model, not a curated record. The transcript is spliced from 4 exons. NCBI's taxonomy places the organism in Eukaryota, Metazoa, Chordata, Actinopteri, Pleuronectiformes, Scophthalmidae.
CUGACGUCCACAUCAUCAACUGUGGUGACGACAACCUGAGGGAGAUCAGUAGCAUCAGAGAAUGAUGUCAACGGAGAAACUGUAUUUGGGGCUGACUGAAGCCAUGGUUGGAUACGUCUUUGAUGGCUCCUUCAAAAAGAAAAUAAAGUUUCAUCAGUUUGUAGCAGCUGAAGUCUACAAUCUACAACCCACAACAGAGCUCAAACCUCAGCCUUCUUCUGAUCCAAGAUAAAUUGCUGAGUGGAAGUCUCCCUUUGCAAAACAGUACACUGACGCAAGACAUGGUGCCCUGGCUGAAGAUCUUCCAGGAAUCCACUUAAGGGCCGGGCUUAUUCUCUCAGCAUCCACCUUCAGAGAAAAGAUAAACACUACAAUUGAAUUGUCCAACAAUACUGACUGGUAGAUCUCACAUACAUGCACAGAAAAAGAUUGCUUGGAUUCAGGAUUUAAAGUCUACAAUAGAUAUGCUUCAUUUAAUUCAAAUUCUUUUUCAUGUCUUGGUUGUAUUCAUAUUUUUUCGAUUGCUGUUUUAAUGGGCGAAGUAUGAAAAUUUGUCCCCAUCUGUUUACAUGGAAAUUAUGAUAAUAAUAUAAAUAUUUUGUUUUACACGGAAGAAAUAUGGCUAAACUGAAAGAUUAACUUCUAAUUUUAGGUUUUGUAGAUUAAUUCAUAUCAUUGUUAAUAUGUAAAUAGAAAAACACAUUCACAUACAAAAUUGGCUGAUAAGUCUGGUAUGAACUUAAAUGAGUCAUAUACCGAUAUAAAACCCAUACCAGGCUUUUCACAUAAUCACUAAUAUGUUCUUCCAAAAGUCCAAAUAAACCCACUUUGUGAUCAAAAAUAGAAUUUUCUAAUUCAAUUAAGACUGAAUAGCAUAUUAACUAAUUUUGAUUCACACUCAAUAAAUGGUUAAUUAUAUUGAACAUUCUUUUUGUUAUGUUCCCUUUAAGCCCACCUGGUAAAAUGUUUUGAGGGAAUAAUUUUUGAUACCAGUUUAUACAAGAACAUUACAUGCCUAGCGUGCAUAUUGGAUUUCACAAAUGCAAAAAUCGAAUUAAACAUUAGAAAGUGUUUUUAUCUUGGGUGCUGCAAAUAAAAAAUUAAAAAAUCUAAACAAAUAAAACCUCAGGACAGGGUACCUUCAAGUGCUUGUGCAUAAGAGGCUCUGACAUAUAAUGUAUCAAUCUGAUUUGCUUGCACUAUGCAAAUUACAUACUAAAUACACUACAGAGAUUGGGAACAGACAGAUUGUCUUGGGGCAC